Molecule: long non-coding RNA, 4703 nt
Filed under: Canis lupus familiaris (dog)
Lineage: Eukaryota; Metazoa; Chordata; Mammalia; Carnivora; Canidae
Description: lncRNA (ENSCAFG00000058335.1, ENSCAFG00845018133.1)
Source: RNAcentral
UUUAUGAAUGAGAGGGAGCAGAGAGAGAGGGAGAAGCUUACUCCCCACUGAGCAGGAAGUCUGAUGUGGGACUGGAUCCUGGGACCCUAGGAUCAUGACCUGAGCCAAAGGCAAACGUUUAACCAACUGAAACUGGACCACUUUCUUAUACCAUGUUCAAAAAAAAGCUUGAAAUAGAUUAAAUGCAUAACUGUAAGACCUGAAACCAUAAAACUCAAAAAAGAAACAUUGGCAGUAAAUUCUUGGACAUCAGUGUUAGCAAUAUCUCUUUUGUGGGGGAACUGUCUUCUCAGGCAAAGAUAACAAAAACAAAAAUAAGCAACUGAAACUACAUCAACUAAAAAGCUUUUGCACAACAAAAGGAAUCAUCAACAAAACCAAAAAGGCAACCCACCAAAUGGGAGUAGAUAUUUGCAAAUGAUAUGUUUAAUAAAGGAUUAAUAUCCAAAAUAUAGAAAGAACUCAGACAACUCAAGAACAAGAAAACAAAUAAUACAGUUUAAAUAUGGGCAGAGAAUAUGGUAGACUUUUUUCCAAAAAAAAAGACAAACAGAUGGCUCACAAACACUGAGAAGAUGCUCAACAUUACUAUUCAUCAGGGAAAUGAAAAUCAAAACCACAAUGAGAUAUUACUUCACAUCAGUCAGAACAGCUAGUAUCAAAAAGACAAGAAAUAACAAGUGUGGGCAAGGAUGUGGAGAAAAGGCAACCCUCAUACACUGCUGAUGGGAAUAUAAAUUGGUGCAGCCAUAAUAGAAAACAGUACAGAGCUUCCUCAAAAUAUUAAAAAAUAUAAACCCAUAAAAUCCAGCAAUUCCCCUGCUAGGUAUGUACCCCAAGAAAACAAGAAACACUAAUUUCAAAAGAUAUCUGUAUCCCUCUAGUUAUUGCAGCAUUACUUACAAUAGCCAAGAUAUGGAAACAGCCAGUGUGCAAUGAUAGAUGAAUGGAUAAAGAUGUAGUAUACAUGUUAUACAUAUAUAAUGGAUAUUACUUACUCAUAAAAAAGAAUAAACUCUUGCCAUUUGGACAAUGUGGAUGGACCUAGAGGGCAUGAUACUAAGUGAAAUAAGUCAGACAAAAAAGGUAAAUAUCAUAUGAUUUCACUUCUAAGUAGAAUCUAAAAAACAAAACAAAUUAACCAACAAAACAGAAACAGACUCAUAGACUCAGGAAAUCAACAGGUGGUUGGUUACCACAGGGAAGUGGGGUGGAGAGGUGGUUCGUGAAAUAAGGGAAAGAGAUUAAGAGAUUAAGAGAUUAUGACAACUUCCAGUCAUAAAAUAAGUAAGUCAUGGAGAUAUAAAAUAUAGAAUGGGAAAUACAGUCAAUAAUAUUAUAAUAAAUUUGUAUGGUGACGGAUGAUAACUAUAUUUACCAUGGUGAGCAUUUCAUAAUGUAUAUAAGUGUUAAAUCACUAUGUUAUACAUUUGAAUAUAUUGUAUGUCAAUUAUAUGUCAAUUAAAAAUAUAUGAAAAUUUAAAAAUAUAAAUGAAUGAAAAAAUAAUGUAUUUUGCUCUUUAUCUCUCUGCUUGCUCAAUCUUCUAUAUUCUUGAUAAUUUUUUUCUUUAUCAAUUUCCAGAGGUGUAUUAAAAUUUCCCACUAAAUGUGUGGCAACAUCUUUUUAAAAUUCAAAUCCACUUUUUUAAAAAGAUUUAUUUAUUUACUUUACUGUUUUUUAAAAUAUUUAUUACUUUAGAGUGAGAGAAUGAGAGAGGGGCAUGGUGAGAAAAUCCCAAAUGGACUCCACGCUGAAUGCAGAGCCAACUCUGGACUCAAUCUCACCACCCCGGGAUCAUGACAUAAGCUGAAACUAAGAGUUGGAUGCUUAACUGACUGUGCUACCCAAAUACCCCUCAAAUCCACUUAUUUUUGUACAUUUUAAGAAUAUGCUAUAACAUGCAUAUGUAUUUUGAAGGUAUACAUUUUUUCUGAUGUUAGCCUCUAAUCAUUAUGAAAUACUCAUCUUAUUGUUAAAUAUUGAAUUCGGUCUUCCAUUUUACUUCUGUUUGUAAUUGCUACCUUGUGUUUGCUUUACUGUCAUUUCAUAUUUUGAGUUGAAUGUUUAUUUUGUAUUGAAUUACUCUAUUAUUAAUCUCUUACUUCUUCUACAAUUACUCUAGAGAUUAUAAUACGUACCCAGGCAUGCACUUAGAGAUGAAUAUCCAUGACUAUUUAAAUUAGUACUUUAUUUCCUCCAGGAAAAUGCAAGGAUUUUAGAAUACUUUAAGUCUAUUACUGUCCACCUCUUCCCAACUUAUGUACCUUUGUUGUAAUGUAUUUUAUCUAUAAAAAUGUUUUAAGCCUGUAAGCCAUUACUGUUUUUAGAGAAGUCAAAAUUUGUUUAGAUUUAUCUACAUAUUCGCCUUUACUAUUGGUUACCAUUACUUCUUAAUAUCUGAGAUCACAUCUAGGAUUAUUUGCCUUCUAUUUGAAGGAACAUAUUCUAUUAUCUUCCUUACUGUAGGUCUAAUAAUGAAGAAUCUUUGUAUUUUCUGUGUGUUUAAAAAUAUCUUUAAAGAAAAUUGGAAGAGCAUGAGUCCCACUCUAAAAAUCCAGAUCAACUGCAAAAUAAGUUUUCUAGAUUUCAUGAGAGAGAUAAACACACAGAAGCCAAAAAGGAUGAAUUCCACAGAGGUGAAGUCCCUUUGAGAAAAGACAAAGUACAGAUUGUCUCUUCUGUGGCAAAGUAUAAGAACUGUAGCUACCAUACAAAUGGGUAAGGAAAAAUAAGCUGAAAUUUUAAUUUAUCUCUUGAGUCUAGGUAUAUGACAAUGUUAGAACCCCAGGAUAUCCCAGACCCAGACUGAAGUCACACUCACAUUCAGCUUUCCAUGGAUCUCUCCCAGGUAUACAUAUGAAAAUAGGAGGCAAGGAAUCAGAAAAACCCUUCCUCGGUGGUGCAAGCAUGCAAUCAGAGUAUGAUCACUGCUUAAACACAGAGAACAAAAGUCCCAAACUGUGCCGGAGAAGCAGGAAUCCCCAGUGCUCCCAUAGCAUAGGUAAGAACUCUUUAUUUCAUAUUCAUCUUUGCAGGAUAUUUUUCAAUGACCAAGUUGACAAUAAUUUCUUUCAUUGUUAUAGAAAUACAAUCUCCUGAUUUUUCUGGUUUCUACUAUUUCUGUCAGUCUUAUUUUUGCUCUUUUGAUAGUAAUUUCUCUUUUGAAAUUUCAAGUUAUAUUGCUGUCUUUGGCGUUCAAAAGUUUUAAGUUUUUUAAUCAUUCUAUUUUCUCCUAUUUCUUAAAAAAGGAAUUUUUUAAGCUAAAUGUUCCACUAAGGCCUGCUUUACAUGUUCACAGGUUUUAUAUGUAAUAUUUUAUUGACAUUCCAUUCAAAGCAUAUGAAAAUGUUAUUUGUAGUGCUGUUUGUUUUAUUUCCUGAUCUGAGGGAAUAUUUUAGCUAUUCCUUAGUUAUUGUUUCAUUUUUAUUGUGAUAUAAUCAGAUUUCAUAAUGCAAACCUAACGUCAACACAUCAUAAUGUAAAUGUCAACACAUCAUAAUUUUUUUUCUUUUGUGUACAUAUACUUUCAAUUUGCAGAAAAGCAUACUCAGGAAUGAAGUGUAGUUCUAGUCAUUUACCUUUUCAGUCAUUGUCAUUGCAGAUUCAUUAAUAGAAAUACUAUAAUCAAAAAUUGCUAAAAUGAACAGAUUGAUCCUGGCUGCUUUAGUUUCACUGUUUUAAGUAUAAAUAAUCCUGAAGAAGGAUAAAGGUUUAUUGCUGAUAUCCCAGACUUCAGUCUCAUUCAGUUCUUCUCACCACAAUGACUACAUUAAAAAGUAGUUCAAAUUAUUUACAUGCUCAAAUCCUUCAGUAUCAUCCCAUCGCAUGCUAAAAAAAAAAUCCAGAUUAUCUUCAAAGCCCUAUAUCAUCUUGCCCUGCCACUCUUCCCUCAGCCAUCACAUACUUCAUUGGACAGAUCAAGAUCAUUUCUGUUUCAUUGAUUUUCUAUUUGUUCUUCUCUCUAGACAAGUCCAUAACACUUGCCAUAGGAAGGUCUUUAGAUCUUCCAAGGCUGGCAUCUUCUUACUACUCAAGUUUCAGGGUUCAGUGGAUGCUCCUGGAUCGUGGAUGCACUGGGCUCCCUGGAGGAUUGGCUGCUGGAACAGGUUAGCCUGGAGGAGGUUCAACUAUCCUUCUACAACUACAGAAGAGCUGUUACCAGCAGAGAGAUCCUUGGAGCAGUUAAGAGAGAUCCUUUCUGAAGAGCUUUUGUGUAAACGAAGUGUUCUGAAUGGUUCUGUUGAAAGGAUUGCACUUGUCAAAAAUAAUCAGAUAGGUCAGAGGACUGAGUUGGAAGACAAGGUAUCUGAUAAACUCAACAGGAGUCUUGGUGCUACAUACUUGGUCUCUGGGGCCUGUGUUUUUGGCCUCUGACCUAAUUUGUGGGUGGGGGGAAAUAUAAAGGCAUUUUCUCUUAAAAAAAUUUAUCAUUUCAUUUUAUAAUUAACUUCUAUUUAAUUUUAUUCGUGGCACUUUUUAUUAUUUCAAAUAUUUGGUUCUUUAUUUGUUUAGUUACCUAUCUUCCACCUCUAGAAUGUAGUAUAUAAAAGAACAAGGGUCAAUCUGUCUCAUUCCAUAAUACAUAAACUUAACCCACCACAGAAAAUUGUGCUUGAUAUAUAAUAAAUGCUCAGCUAACACUUUACGUUUGUGAAUAUCCACAAUUUCAUUUUCUGCUCUGUAUGGAGAAUAUUCUGUCUCU